AUCACUUCUCGGCCUUUUGGCUAAGAUCAAGUGUA
RNAcentral lists this small nuclear RNA (35 nucleotides) under Cervus elaphus hippelaphus. Lineage: Eukaryota; Metazoa; Chordata; Mammalia; Artiodactyla; Cervidae. The record is from RNAcentral.